Molecule: non-coding RNA, 21 nt
Filed under: Caenorhabditis elegans
Lineage: Eukaryota; Metazoa; Nematoda; Chromadorea; Rhabditida; Rhabditidae
Source: RNAcentral
UCGAGGAUUAAUCGAGAAUGA